Molecule: transfer RNA, 100 nt
Filed under: Venturia inaequalis
Lineage: Eukaryota; Fungi; Ascomycota; Dothideomycetes; Venturiales; Venturiaceae
Rfam family: tRNA
About the family: Transfer RNA (tRNA) molecules are approximately 80 nucleotides in length. Their secondary structure includes four short double-helical elements and three loops (D, anti-codon, and T loops).
Source: Rfam by way of RNAcentral
GGCGCUUUGACGGAGUGGUUAACGUGAUUGACUCGAAUGACUCGCAUCUACUAGAUAUCAAUUUCCUUCGGGAGCGCAGGUUCGAAUCCUGCAGGCGUCG